GCUUUUUGUUGUUUAAAGGUAAGUUCUGCCCAAUGGUUUUAAAUGGCCGCGGUAAUUUGACCGUGCAAAGGUAGCAUAAUCAUUUGCCUCGUAAUUGGGGGCUGGAAUGAAUGAAUAAACAAAGGCUUUUCUUUAUUUUGGAGAAAAAAAUAAUUUUCUUUUUUAGUGAAGAAGCUAAAAUAAAAAAGGGGACAAGAAGACCCUUUUGAGCUUUAUUAACUUUCUUUUUAUUUAGGGUUAAUUUGGUUGGGGCGACCGAGGAGAAUCCUCCUUAGUUAUGUUGAUCCGCAGGUUGCGAUUAAAAGAGUAAGUUACCAAAGGGAUAACAGCGUAAUCUUUUUUGAGAGUUCUUAUUAAAAAUUAGGAUUGCGACCUCGAUGUUGACUUAUAAUUCCCAUUUGGUGUAGCAGCUGAGAUGGUGGGUCUGUUCGACCUUUAAAAUUUU
Molecule: ribosomal RNA, 445 nt
Filed under: Ototyphlonemertes erneba
Lineage: Eukaryota; Metazoa; Nemertea; Enopla; Monostilifera; Ototyphlonemertidae
Description: partial 16S ribosomal RNA
Rfam family: Bacterial large subunit ribosomal RNA
Source: RNAcentral